Symphalangus syndactylus (siamang) is the source of this 849-nucleotide long non-coding RNA. RefSeq lists it as uncharacterized. NCBI's taxonomy places the organism in Eukaryota, Metazoa, Chordata, Mammalia, Primates, Hylobatidae. The record is from RefSeq and is a predicted model, not a curated record.
GCCGUUCUGGUUGGGCCGGUACACGCUGCCCACGCUGAGGCGGCCCUGCUGCGCGCCGUUCCGCUCCCCACCCGGCGGGGGCGUGUCGGAGCUGCGCACCGGCAGGUCAGCCUCAUUUGUUCUUUUCCCAGAAGACUGGUUUUGUCUAAGAGAGAAAGUAUGACCACUGACAGCUUCUGAGUGUUGUAACUUGGAGGUUAUGUCAUGAGAAAGAAGUGUCCCUGUGUCGGAAAACACCAGAAGAGGGGCCUCCCUGGCUGUGAUGAGUCCUGCAGAGGAACAGGGCUGUGCCACCCUAGAAGAAAGAAGACUCCUGGCUUCCCUGGGCCUGCUGCACUGGCUCUGGCUAGGUUGGAGAGGGCUGCAGGCAGGACCGCAGUCAGCAGAGGGCGCCAAAGGCUCUCAACACACCCAUGGCUCAGGCCUGGCCCAGAAGGAGAGCGCUGAGAGCCAGGACCGGCGGGCUACGUGCGCCCUGUGGAUUCCCCCAUUUCCCAUGCUUCAUCUAGCCAUGGGCCUGCAGUGCACUCACAAAUGUGCACAUACCCUCGUGUGUGUGUGUGUGUGUGUGUGUGUGUGUGUGUGUGUGUGUGUGUGUUACACUCAUCAAAUUGUCUCUGAAUUUGCUUGGCUUCUUGUGUUCCUUUGUGUGUAUGUGUGUGUGUGGUGUGUCUGGUGUAUCUGGUUCCCCUAGGAAGCAUAUUUGACAGCCCCACAGUCAGGGUCAGGGCACAGGGACAGAUACUGUGUCUAUAACAAUCUAUAACACUGAUUUUGUUCGUCUCAAUAAAUGUGAGAAUGAAAUAAAAAUUCAUGUAGAAUAUUUUGUACAUCUCAAUAAAGCCACUU